Molecule: ribosomal RNA, 194 nt
Filed under: uncultured prokaryote
Description: partial 16S ribosomal RNA
Rfam family: Bacterial small subunit ribosomal RNA
Source: RNAcentral
ACGUAGGGUGCGAGCGUUGCCCGGAUUUAUUGGGCGUAAAGGGCGCGUAGGCGGCUACGCACGUCCGUUGUGAAAUCGCUCGGCUCAACUGGGCGGGGUCAGCGGAUACGGUGUAGCUGGAGCAAGCUAGGGGGCAAUGGAAUUCCCGGUGUAGUGGUGGAAUGCGUAGAUAUCGGGAGGAACACCAGUGGCGA